Molecule: long non-coding RNA, 1506 nt
Organism: Girardinichthys multiradiatus
Lineage: Eukaryota; Metazoa; Chordata; Actinopteri; Cyprinodontiformes; Goodeidae
Exons: 3
Source: RefSeq, a predicted model, not a curated record
GAUGAUGUCAAGUUCAACAGUUUCUCUUAAAAAAUUAAAUGAACUACUGACAUGAGUAAAAAGACACAACAUUUUGAGAUUUUGAGAUGUGUAUGUUUUUAUUUUUCUCCCACACAAUGACAACUAUUAUGAUGUGAUUUUCCCAUAAAUAAUUUCUAAAAACCCUCCAAAUGCUGUAAAAAGCAGCCCAAAUUUUAAUAACCCGCCCAAAGCUAUUUUAUUCCAGCCCAACAUGUUCAGAAGAAGCUCAACUGGGGGGAAACCAGUGCAGUCUGGCAGCACUUCACAGCUUAUCCCAAUCCCAUAAAGAAAACACUAAUCAACAACAACAACAAAUAUGUCGGAGCAUAAUGUAUACGCAUGAUGGUGCCCCCUUCACUUUUGUGCCUGCCCCCUUAUAUAUGCAGGCCUAGAACCGGCCCUGGAAAAAAGUAACGCAACAGUUACUUUCCCUGUUAACUAGUUACCUUUAUAGUGGAGUAACUCAGUUACUAACUCAGUCAUUUUUUGGGAGAAGUAACUAGUAACUAUAACUAAUUACCUUUUUAAAGUAACAUGCCCAACACUGGUCUUUCCUCGUGUCUUGUAGUUUUUUGUAUCUCUCUUCAGCCCCAUUCAUGAUAAAUAGUACCCAGCCUUAGCCACAGCUACCAUGCAAUUAAGUAGAUUUUGCUCAUCUGCACCACCUCACUUUCUCCAUUGCCUGCACCUGGAACAGGUGACCAAGUCAAGUCAGAGCUUGGUCAUUGUUCUCCAUUGGAAUCUCAUGUUUUCAUGCCUGUUUGUUCUCCCUGGUUCUUCCAGUUUUUUCAUCCGUGUGUCAUGUCAUGUUUUCUUUUUGAGUUUUUUGUUUUAUUAAAACUUUUUCAAAUCAUCAUGCCACUCCCAAGAUCUUGUUUGCACUUUGGUGACACUGAUUUGUGUACAAGUUGUUUGGGUGUUUGUCUAUCUCACUUCCCUCCAGGGUGUGACUGGCAAGUGCAGCCGCCAGCAGCUGCAGCUCACUAGGCUCAUCAGGAGGAGCUUAAAGAGGACCCUGAUCUUUGACACAGAUACCAAAUCAUUUGCUCACAUGAGCGAGCCUCCAAAAGAACGCCUGGAUGUUUUUGCUUGGAACUUCAGAGAUCCGUUUCCUGAGAUUUCUCUUGAAAGGAGAAGGAGAACGAUUAUCUUCCCAAAACCCAAACUCCUGUCGAUCUCAGUUCAGUGAAGUGACUAACCUUUCCCUGGAUCUUCCAACACUUCUAAAACAGUAAGCGCAACUUUUGUCUUACAUUUUCCCUUUCCAUUCAAAUCAUUCUAACUGCUAUCUCUCACCCUAGCCACCUGGAGACCAGCCUUGAGUCCUGCCGAUCUCCUCUUCUCAUUCUUGAUUGGCAAAUGCACUUAAGUAUCUCGGGGUCUUGUUCACGAGUGAGGGAAGAAUGGAGCAGGAGAUCGACAGACGGAUCGGUGCGGCUGCCACAGUAAUGGGGGCGCUGUGCCGGUCCGUUGUGGUGAAGAGAG